This 636-nucleotide ribosomal RNA is filed under the name uncultured bacterium. RNAcentral describes it as "bacterial SSU rRNA". It matches the Rfam family "Bacterial small subunit ribosomal RNA", at positions 169 to 803 of the family's 1533-position model. The record is from RNAcentral.
CCCAAUGACGUCUCUAGAAGGCAUCUGAAAGAGAUUAAAGAUUUAUCGGUGAUGGAUGGGGAUGCGUCUGAUUAGCUUGUUGGCGGGGUAACGGCCCACCAAGGCAACGAUCAGUAGGGGUUCUGAGAGGAAGGUCCCCCACAUUGGAACUGAGACACGGUCCAAACUCCUACGGGAGGCAGCAGUGAGGAAUAUUGGUCAAUGGACGAGAGUCUGAACCAGCCAAGUAGCGUGCAGGAGGACGGCCCUAUGGGUUGUAAACUGCUUUUAUAAGGGAAUAAAGUGAGUCUCGUGAGACUUUUUGCAUGUACCUUAUGAAUAAGGACCGGCUAAUUCCGUGCCAGCAGCCGCGGUAAUACGGAAGGUCCGGGCGUUAUCCGGAUUUAUUGGGUUUAAAGGGAGCGUAGGCCGGAGAUUAAGCGUGUUGUGAAAUGUAGACGCUCAACGUCUGCACUGCAGCGCGAACUGGUUUCCUUGAGUACGCACAAAGUGGGCGGAAUUCGUGGUGUAGCGGUGAAAUGCUUAGAUAUCACGAAGAACUCCGAUUGCGAAGGCAGCUCACUGGAGCGCAACUGACGCUGAAGCUCGAAAGUGCGGGUAUCGAACAGGAUUAGAUACCCUGGUAGUCCGCACGGU